UGGGGAAUUUUGGACAAUGGGCGAAAGCCUGAUCCAGCAAUGCCGCGUGUGUGAAGAAGGCCUUCGGGUUGUAAAGCACUUUUGUCCGGAAAGAAAUCCUUGGCUCUAAUACAGUCGGGGGAUGACGGUACCGGAAGAAUAAGCACCGGCUAACUACGUGCCAGCAGCCGCGGUAAUACGUAGGGUGCAAGCGUUAAUCGGAAUUACUGGGCGUAAAGCGUGCGCAGGCGGUUUGCUAAGACCGAUGUGAAAUCCCCGGGCUCAACCUGGGAACUGCAUUGGUGACUGGCAGGCUAGAGUAUGGCAGGAGGGGGGUAGAAUUCCACGUGUAGCAGUGAAAUGCGUAGAGAUGUGGAGGAAUACCGAUGGCGAAGGCAGCCCCCUGGGCCAAUACUGACGCUCAUGCACGAAAGCGUGGGGAGCAAACAGGAUUAGAUACCCUGGUAGUCCACGCCCUAAACGAUGUCAACUAGUUGUUGGGGAUUCAUUUCCUUAGUAACGUAGCUAACGCGUGAAGUUGACCGCCUGGGGAGUACGGUCGCAAGAUUAAAACUCAAAUGAAUUGACGGGGUCAUAGCUG
RNAcentral lists this ribosomal RNA (580 nucleotides) under uncultured bacterium. RNAcentral describes it as "partial 16S ribosomal RNA". It matches the Rfam family "Bacterial small subunit ribosomal RNA", at positions 355 to 932 of the family's 1533-position model. The record is from RNAcentral.